GGAGGAUCUCUGCAUAUAGCAGGCUAUAUUUAUCAACCUGAUGGUCUUUGGUAGACAUGCUUUGUUCUAGGGUCAAUUAUUAUGCCCUUUCCACCAUUCACUUCGAGAUCAUGCCUGCAGAGUUUAAUUGUCAGAAUGUCAGUAUUGACCCUAGUUUAUAGCAGACCUCUUAAAAUUCUAGAAACAUUACAUACUGGAAGACAAAAUCAGGAAUUGUCAGUUGUUCACGUGGUACGUAUCUGAACAGCUGCACAAGUCUGUCGACAUAGAUAACUUUCUUCCAGACCUAAUUGAGACAAAAAGGAAGAUGCUAAAAUUAGAAAAAGAAAUGUGUCAAAGAAUUGGGGAGGAAACGAGCGAGAUGGCUGCAAUAGCAAGUACCUCCCCAUCAACGAAAAGCUGCAAAGCCAAUAUAGCUGUUCUCAAUCCCAAAGUUGGGUGAAGUACAUAUAUAGCCUGUGGAGUGCAAUAACAACACCAGUUCAUAUUUCUUUUCCUAAAUGAACAAUCAGAACCACACAGUGUGAUCAUAUGAGAUACCGACAUGAAGAUUGCGCUGAUGCUUCCGACCUAAUAUUUGUUGCAACCGCUUCAUGAAUCCUAAAUCUGGUCGCCUGCAAAAUCAAUUAAAACAGCUCGUGUUACAUGCACCAAGUUUUAGAAAGGAUUGCAAUGUCCUUCUCAACCUACUUAUUCAUGAAUCUUACACUUGUAAAGAUGCUGCUGAGUGGAAAUAGACAAUUGAGUAAGGCUUUUGAAUCAAUGGUUCAAACUCCUGCAAAGAAGGCAAAUUUAAUCCUGUCAGAAUAAGCUGCCAAAUUCAAAUACACAAAGGCAUUAACAGUGGUCUAGAUAGGCUAACUUUUGGGCAACGAACUUAGCUAAUCUAUUAUAUAGUUCAUUUGGGAAUUCCUGCCAUGAUGCUUGAACCAGGCCCGCUUCAAAAAAGUUAGUGGGAAAAAACAAAACUGUUCCUUUCUAUUGGAACUAUAGAUAUUAGAUGCUCUGUGGCUCUCUGGCACUACUGUAUGGAACACACCUCAUAAGUUCAUAACAGACACUGUAUAUUGGUUCCUGCAAACUCAUGAUUUCAAAACAAGAUGGAUGGAGUACUAAACUUGGUGUUCCAUCCAGUAUGUCCUGAAUAUUGAGAAAAUCCAGGUUGAUUCAUGGACAAAGUAAAAACCAUCUAUUUAACACAAGGCAGUAGGAAACUUGGAUUAUAUACAAGUAUUUAUAUUCCCUUCCUAAAAAAACUUCCAAGGUCCACCCCUCAUUUAAGAUCAACCCAAGGAAUAUGUUAUCUCACUGUAAAAAAGUAAUGCAACUAAGGAGAGUCUCAUAAAAUAUGCUGCAUCAAUCUUUGGUAUCUGCAAUCUAGUGGAAUUCCAAUGCUCUUUGUAAAGGGGGGAAAUUCUAAAGCUCUACAAAAAAUAGAAUCAUCAUCACAAGGUAUAACGAAUAGAAAUGGUUGCAUUGAAAUUACUUGUUGAGAAAAAAACACAUUAAUAGAUAGGAAUCAUCAGCUUGUGGUCAGGGUAGAACAAAUGCUGAGAAACUCCAUCGCUCUCAUAUGCACUGGAAAUAUGUAACUGACAGCUAUCAGCUAAUCUUUGGGAGUUCACAAAUUCACUUCAGUUAUGUCCGGAAAGGCAAUCAGGCCUUCUGCAUCCUAUAUUGUGCAAGUCGUGUAUCUCAGUUAGAUUGAUAAUUACCUUUACUACAUAUAGAAUAAAUCGCUCAAGAUCCAAACAGCGAAGUAGAAAGUGAGCACCAACAACCACCAUAACAGGACGCCCUUCACUAUCAACUCCACCGCGGUAACUGUAAUUGAGGGGGAAAAGGCAAAUGAUGUGAGGAUAAAAGGUAAACUAAAAUAAACAAGCAAACUAGGGAGAAUCUUAGAAAAGAAUUUAACUGAAAAUGGUAAUUUACAUACAUUAUUUUCAUCUCAGCAAUCUCUGAGAGACUGAGAGAAUUUGCUUUAGCAAGGUGUCAUGAAUGAAGUGAAUAAUCUUCAGCAGCAGAUAAUGGAGGACCACCAAGGUCGCCAAAUCCAACCAAUUUAGCCCAAUUAAAUCCCUUGUUUGCCUGAACAGACUUUUCCAACUGCUCCUUGCGUCGGAGAUCUGGAUCUUUAAUUAGUGACAUAAAGGCA
This 2158-nucleotide small RNA is filed under the name Oryza sativa Japonica Group (Japanese rice). RNAcentral describes it as "sRNA Os03g0151201". Lineage: Eukaryota; Viridiplantae; Streptophyta; Magnoliopsida; Poales; Poaceae. The record is from RNAcentral.